AUGGUAACGUCAAGAAUCAAGGGUAUUAACCUCAACCUUUUCUUCCCAAUUGAAAGUGCUUUACAACCCGCAGGCCUUCUUCACACACGCGGUAUUGCUGGAUCAGGGUUGCCCCCAUUGUCCAAUAUUCCCC
RNAcentral lists this ribosomal RNA (133 nucleotides) under uncultured bacterium. Its description in RNAcentral is "partial 16S ribosomal RNA". The record is from RNAcentral.